UGGGGUGUGGCUCUGUGGCUGAGCACUUGCCUGGCAUUAGCUAGGCUCUGGGUUCAAGCCCCAGCACCAG
This 70-nucleotide transfer RNA is filed under the name Marmota monax (woodchuck). RNAcentral describes it as "tRNA.Ala". Lineage: Eukaryota; Metazoa; Chordata; Mammalia; Rodentia; Sciuridae. The record is from RNAcentral.